This 357-nucleotide long non-coding RNA is filed under the name Olea europaea subsp. europaea. The record is from RNAcentral. Lineage: Eukaryota; Viridiplantae; Streptophyta; Magnoliopsida; Lamiales; Oleaceae.
AUAGUUUGUAGCAUAGAUAGGACCAUAGUUUGUAACAAAAUUUAGGCCCUGUUCGCUUGAUGAUGUCGGCCAUAAUAAAGCUGCAAAGAGACAUAUUUCCUCAUUUCCCUAUAAUUACAAUAACACUUGAUUUUUCUUUUUCGAUUUUUUCAAAAUUGUUUGACAAAACAUUUAGGACUAAUUCAUAUGAUAAUCCCAUGUUUCAUGGACCAAAUGGGACAUGCUUGUUGUGUAUGGGACGACGUCGUCUAACCCAACUAUAAUCCAUGGUAACAUAUUCUGAUUUCUUCCCUCCUUGAUGAUCAGUCCAUUUCUUGGGAUGCAUCAGAUUUUUCUCUUUUUGAUGUAAUUUGUUAC